UUAGAGUUUGAUCCUGGCUCAGGAUGAACCCUUGCGGCAGGCUUAACACAUGCAAGUCGAGGGGCAGCAUGUCCAGCAAUGGAUGAUGGCGACCGGCGGAAGGGUGCGUAACGCGUGAGCAACAUGCCCUAUACAGGGGAUACACCAGGGAAACUUGGUCUAAUAUCCCAUAGCAUUCAUUGAAGGCAUCUUUAAUGAAUUAAAGCUUCGGUGGUAUAGGAUUGGCUCGCGUGACAUUAGCCAGAUGGUGAGGUAACGGCUCACCAUAGCAAUGAUGUCUAGGGGUUUUGAGAGGAAGGCCCCCCACACUGGGACUGAGACACGGCCCAGACUCCUACGGGAGGCAGCAGUGAGGAAUAUUGGACAAUGGAUGGAAAUCUGAUCCAGCCAUGCCGCGUGCAGGAAGACGGCCUUAUGGGUUGUAAACUGCUUUUAUACGGGAGCAAUAAGGGUUACGAGUAAUCCGAUGAGAGUACUGUAUGAAUAAGGAUCGGCUAACUCCGUGCCAGCAGCCGCGGUAAUACGGAGGAUCCGAGCGUUAUCCGGAAUUAUUGGGUUUAAAGGGUGCGUAGGCGGACGCCUAAGUCAGCGGUGAAAGGCAGCGGCUCAACCGUUGGAUUGCCGUUGAAACUGGGCGUCUUGGAUUCGGUCGAGGCCGGCGGAAUGCGUGGUGUAGCGGUGAAAUGCUUAGAUAUCACGCGGAACGCCGAUUGCGAAGGCAGCUGGCCAGACCUGGAUCGACGCUGAGGCACGAAAGCGUGGGGAUCAAACAGGAUUAGAUACCCUGGUAGUCCACGCCGUAAACGAUGAUCACUGGAUGUCGGCGAUAUACCGUCGGCGUCUGAGCGAAAGCAUUAAGUGAUCCACCUGGGGAGUACGAUCGCAAGGUUGAAACUCAAAGGAAUUGACGGGGGCCCGCACAAGCGGAGGAACAUGUGGUUUAAUUCGAUGAUACGCGAGGAACCUUACCUGGGCUCAAAUGCAUUCGGAAGUGCGCUGAAAGGCGUAUGCCAGCGAUGGCCGUUUGCGAGGUGCUGCAUGGUUGUCGUCAGCUCGUGCCGUGAGGUGUCGGGUUAAGUCCCAUAACGAGCGCAACCCCUACUGCUAGUUGCCAGCGCGUAAAGGCGGGGACUCUAGCGGAACUGCCGGCGUAAGCCGUGAGGAAGGUGGGGAUGACGUCAAAUCAGCACGGCCCUUACGUCCAGGGCUACACACGUGUUACAAUGGCCAGUACAGAGGGCAGCCACCCCGCGAGGGGGCGCUAAUCCCGAAAGCUGGUCCCAGUUCGGAUCGGAGUCUGCAACCCGACCCCGUGAAGCUGGAUUCGCUAGUAAUCGCGCAUCAGCCACGGCGCGGUGAAUACGUUCCCGGGCCUUGUACAAAGCGCCCGUCA
This 1393-nucleotide ribosomal RNA is filed under the name uncultured bacterium. RNAcentral's name for it is "16S ribosomal RNA". It matches the Rfam family "Bacterial small subunit ribosomal RNA". The record is from RNAcentral.